GGAGGUAGUGACAAUAAAUCACAAUGCGGAACUUUUGUUUUGCAAUUGGAUUGAGAACAACGCACAACACUUAUCGAUAAACAAUUGGAGGGCAAGUCUGGUGCCAGCAGCCGCGGUAAUUCCAGCUCCAAUAGCGUAUAUUAACGUUGUUGCAGUUAAAAAGCUCGUAGUUGAAGUGAAGUAAUGAAGUUGUGACUUGAUUUAUCAUUUCGCUUCUUAAUUACUCUUUCCAAAUUGUUUGCACGGGUAUUCAUUUACUUGUGUAUUGCAUUUGGUCAUUUACUGUGAGAAAAUUAGAGUGUUCAAAGCAUACGUUUGUUUGAAUACAUUAGCAUGGAAUAAUUCGAAAAGGCUUUCAUGUUCGAUUUGAUUGGUUUGUUCGUGAGAGCAAGAUUAAAAGGGACAGUUGGGGGUAUUCAUAUUCAAUAGUCAGAGGUGAAAUUCUCGGAUUUAUGGAAGAUGAACAA
This 467-nucleotide ribosomal RNA is filed under the name Blastocystis sp. subtype 10. Its description in RNAcentral is "SSU rRNA". It matches the Rfam family "Eukaryotic small subunit ribosomal RNA", at positions 460 to 942 of the family's 1831-position model. Lineage: Eukaryota; Bigyra; Opalinata; Blastocystidae. The record is from RNAcentral.